Long non-coding RNA from Ruditapes philippinarum (Manila clam), 396 nucleotides. RefSeq lists it as uncharacterized. NCBI's taxonomy places the organism in Eukaryota, Metazoa, Mollusca, Bivalvia, Venerida, Veneridae. The transcript has 3 exons. The record is from RefSeq and is a predicted model, not a curated record.
UGCUGAGACUACAAAUGAUCUGGGUUAAUAAACGCGCGCUUAAAGAUCAAAACACACAACAAGGAAUUUUUGCGAACUAGAUUUAAGUUUUAAAACGAAAGCGACAACAUAGAACUAGACCGCAGAUGUUCCCAUUUACAUUGGCUUACAGAAGAAUGUUAAGAAGAAUUUCAAUAAUUUCUUGCUGAUAAUGGAUGAGAUGGAGGAUUCCAAUUUCACAGAGAACACCCAAGGACAGUCCAGUUUUAUAAUAUUACCAUCCCAAGAGGAAUCCCAACAAGAAUCCCAACCUGACAAACAAAUGAUCAAAAUCAUCAAAAAUCUGCCGGCUUUACAAAAUCCAGACAAGGCAGUAUUGUCAAGUGAUACGUGUACUGAUGAGGAGCAUGAAAAAGG